GACAGAAGGUGCAAGCGUUACUCGGAAUUACUGGGCGUAAAGCGUCUGUAGGUGUCCUGCCACGUCUGGCGUUAAAGCGCAGUGCUCAACACUGCGUCUGUGCCGGAAACGAGCGGGAUCGAGUCAUUCAGAGGCAUCUGGAAUGUCGUGUGUAGGGGUAAAAUCCGUAGAUACACGAUGGAACGCCAAAAGCGAAGGCAGGAUGCUGGGAAUGUACUGACACUCAGAGACGAAAGCGUGGGGAGCAAAGGGG
RNAcentral lists this ribosomal RNA (253 nucleotides) under uncultured bacterium. RNAcentral's name for it is "partial 16S ribosomal RNA". It matches the Rfam family "Bacterial small subunit ribosomal RNA", at positions 524 to 776 of the family's 1533-position model. The record is from RNAcentral.